UCCGGGAUCGUCUAAAGGCAGGACGAUUGACUUUGGAUCAGUAGAUGCGUGGUUCGAAUCCCGCUCCCGGAA
Molecule: transfer RNA, 72 nt
Filed under: Chryseolinea sp.
Lineage: Bacteria; Pseudomonadati; Bacteroidota; Cytophagia; Cytophagales; Fulvivirgaceae
Also listed under: 1 other name
Description: tRNA-Gln
Rfam family: tRNA
About the family: Transfer RNA (tRNA) molecules are approximately 80 nucleotides in length. Their secondary structure includes four short double-helical elements and three loops (D, anti-codon, and T loops).
Source: RNAcentral